RNAcentral lists this ribosomal RNA (511 nucleotides) under uncultured bacterium. Its description in RNAcentral is "bacterial SSU rRNA". It matches the Rfam family "Bacterial small subunit ribosomal RNA", at positions 15 to 518 of the family's 1533-position model. The record is from RNAcentral.
GAUCCUGGCUCAGAACGACGCUGGCGGCGCGUUUAAGCAUGCAAGUCGAGCGGCAAGGGCCUUCGGGCCCCUAGAGCGGCGGACGGGUGAGUAACACGUGGACAAUCUGCCCCCCGGCCCGGGAUAGCCCAGGGAAACCUGGAUUAAUACCGGAUGAGACGGGACCCGCGAUGGCGGGACCCGGGAAAGGCGCUGCGGCGCCGCCGGGGGAUGAGUCUGCGUCCCAUUAGCUAGACGGCGGGGUAACGGCCCACCGUGGCGACGAUGGGUAGCCGGCCUGAGAGGGUGGACGGCCACAUUGGAACUGAGACACGGUCCAGACUCCUACGGGAGGCAGCAGCUAAGAAUCUUCCGCAAUGGGCGAAAGCCUGACGGAGCGACGCCGCGUGAACGAAGAAGGCCGUGAGGUUGUAAAGUUCUUUUCGGGAGGGGGAACAACCGUGGCAGGGAAUGGCCGCGGGAUGACGUGAAUCCCGGAAUAAGCCCCGGCUAACUACGUGCCAGCAGCAGC